RNAcentral lists this microRNA precursor (82 nucleotides) under Tursiops truncatus (common bottlenose dolphin). RNAcentral's name for it is "miRNA (ENSTTRG00000025153.1)". Lineage: Eukaryota; Metazoa; Chordata; Mammalia; Artiodactyla; Delphinidae. The record is from RNAcentral.
GUGGGAGAGGAGCAGAGUGUGGCCUGGUGUCUGGUCUUACUAUUUGACAGACUGUCAGUACACCUCUGCCCCUGGUGCCCAC